This 253-nucleotide ribosomal RNA is filed under the name uncultured bacterium. RNAcentral's name for it is "partial 16S ribosomal RNA". It matches the Rfam family "Bacterial small subunit ribosomal RNA", at positions 524 to 776 of the family's 1533-position model. The record is from RNAcentral.
UACGUAGGGGGCAAGCGUUAUCCGGAUUUACUGGGUGUAAAGGGAGCGCAGACGGAUGGAUAAGUCUGAAGUGAAAGCCCGCGGCUCAACUGCGGGACUGCUUUGGAAACUGUGCAUCUUGUGUACGGGAGGGGCAGGCGGAAUUCCUGGUGUAGCGGUGAAAUGCGUAGAUAUCAGGAGGAACACCGGCGGCGAAGGCGGCCUGCUGGACCGAAACUGACGUUGAGGCUCGAAAGCGUGGGGAGCAAACAGG